GCACUGGUGGUUAAGAGGUAGAAUUCUCACCUUCAAGCAGGAGACCCAGGUUCAAUUCCCGGCCAAUGCA
RNAcentral lists this transfer RNA (70 nucleotides) under Loxodonta africana (African savanna elephant). It matches the Rfam family "tRNA". From Rfam's summary of the family: Transfer RNA (tRNA) molecules are approximately 80 nucleotides in length. Their secondary structure includes four short double-helical elements and three loops (D, anti-codon, and T loops). The record is from Rfam by way of RNAcentral. Lineage: Eukaryota; Metazoa; Chordata; Mammalia; Proboscidea; Elephantidae.